Molecule: long non-coding RNA, 3165 nt
Organism: Saimiri boliviensis boliviensis (Bolivian squirrel monkey)
Lineage: Eukaryota; Metazoa; Chordata; Mammalia; Primates; Cebidae
Source: RefSeq, a predicted model, not a curated record
UAUAAUUGGCAGUGCGACAACCAGAGGUCACUUUCAUCACCAUCCUGGUUUUGGUAGGUUUUGGACAGCUUCUUUACACAUGCUAUUUCAUCGGCAAGGUCUUUGUGACUGGUAUCUUGUGCCGACCUCCUAUCUCAUCCUGUCUCUAGGAAUGCCUUAACCUGGGAAUCCAGCCCAGAAAUCUGAAUACAGACAGGUACACAUGUGAACACAAAGACAGAAGUUGGAGUGAUGAGUCCACAACCCAAGGAUUGCCAGCAAGUCACCAGAGUCCAGGACAGCAUCCUGAGACAGCCCCCUACAUGGUACGAACUCCAUCAACACCUUGAUCUCAGACUUCCAGCCUCCAGAACCAUCCAGCCCUCCGUUAAUGAGGGGCUUCCUGGGGCCACUAGUGCACACUGCAGCUCACAAGUCAACUCCAUCCACACCCCUACAAACAGCUGCCCCUUGGCCACUACUCAGGCAUAAGGACACGCCCAGCAGGGUGUGCCCUCAGGAGGUCAGACCAGGGAAGAAGCCAUGCACAGCCAGGAGCCAGUUCAGAGCCUGUGAUGGUUAAUUGUACGUGGCAACUUGACUGGACGCAGGUGCUUGGAUUAGACUUGAUUUCUGAGUGUGUCUGGGAGGGUGUUUCCAGAGAAGAUUGGCAUUUGAAUCUGUGGAUCGGUAAAGCUGGUGUCUGCCCCAGUUUGAGUGGGCACCAUCUACUCUACCAAGGGCCUGAAGAGAACAAAAGGCAAAGGAAGGAGGAAUUCGCCCUUACUUGCUUGCUGCCUGCUUGCUCGUGCAGAGACAUCUCAUCACAUCUUCUCUGGCCCUCGACUGAGAUUCACACCAUUGGCUUCCCCGGUUCUCAGGCAUUUUGACUUGGACUGAACUACACCAUUGGCUUUCCUGGACUCCAGCUUGCACAUAGCAGAUUGUGGGAUUUCUCAGCCUCUAUAAUUACAGGAGCCAAUUCUUCAAAAUCAAUCUCUCUCUCUCUUGCUCUCUCUCCAGAUCACAGUCUAGAAGUCUGCUCACAUUCUCAAGUUUGGCAUAUCCCUUUGAUCCCUCCAGACUCCUCAUCCCAGGGGACCAUCAUGGCCAGGGGAGGGUCAGAGCAGGGCCCUCUAAACCACAGACCCCAGGGCAGGAGCCCCUCUGGCCUGGAUCUAAGGGUGGUAUUAUUAAUGAUCAUUAAAGAUUUAUCAUAGGCUCUCCAAAUAGGAGUGUAAUAGUCUCAAGACAUGAUGCAGAAGAAGUCUGUAAAAAUGUAAAUUCCUAGGCCCCAACUCAGACCUAUGAAUCAGAUGAUCUGUAUGGAGUUUCUAGGAAUCCACAUUUUUAAACAAUCUUCCUAAAUGACUUGCAUUCAUACUAAAGCUUGAGAAUUGCUAUCAAACAGCUAGCAGUUGAAGUGAAGGGUCCUGCCUUUCCCAUGAAGUCCAUCAACUCUAUGCCCCCAAAAGCUGGGCCCUCGGAUGGGCUGCUCUCCUUUCUAGAGACUUUACCAUCUUUCUUCAGGAAGCUAAGCCCAGACUCUUCAGUACAGUAGUCAGAUAAACACUGAUCACAUCCUACUCUCCAAUUCCAAGAACACCAUUACUUAAUUCCUGGCAAGUUACAACGUAAUUGAGUAGGUUGCAGUUUUCUUUUUUAUAUCAGGCGUAGUUAGCCAGCUUCCUGGAAACACCAUGAGCUUUUAAUGAAAAUUCCAGAAACAUGCAUCAUUUCCUAAUUAAGGCUGGGAAUUUUAAAAAAUUAUUAAACCAUGUGCGUUCUAAUUCCUGUUGCCCUUUUUUCUCACCCACCAUUCAGCAGUCAGCAGACACUUUCUGGGUUAUCAGGGUAGGGCCAUCCAGGCAGAACAAAAGCCAUGGAUCAUGAACUACAGAGGAGAGCUUGGUAAAUGGACAGCAGAAACCAUGGUCUACAGGGGUCUGGCUUUCUCCCACCUAGAUAACUAGGCCCAAUCCUAUUUGGGUUUAGUUUCCGAAAUCAGAUGAAAUUGGGCACAUUCAGGUGGCAUUGGGGAUACGGCUGUCCAUUGUAACUGGCAAGAAUUUUGACAGGAAAAAAAAGAGGAUCCUUUUUUUUUUUUUUCUUUUAAAUUUUAGAGCAUUAACUUUAAACAUCAAGAUCCAAACCCCAAGGAUUCAGGGAACCUCAUACCAUAAACCAUUUGGAGUCAGGGUUCUCCAGAGAAACAGAAUCAGUAGGAGGUACAGUUAGAGAUAGAAAAACAUGGAAUCGACUCCCACAAUUAUGGAGGCUGAGAAGUCCCUCAAUCUGCUGUCUGCAAGCUGGAGACUUAGGAAAGCUGGUGGUACAAUUCAGUCCAAGUCCAAAGGCCCAAGAACUAAGAGCAGGAAAAGAGAGAUGUCCCAGCUCAAAAAGGAGAGAGCAAAUUUGUCUUCCUUCCACCAUUUUGUUCCAUCCUGCUCCAUUCCUCAACAGGUUUGAUGAUGCCCGCCUGCAUGGGUGAGGGAGAUUUUUACCCAAUCUCAAGCUUUUUGUGUAAUCAAAUAUGGGAUACAAAUGAAAAAUACUUAAAGUGCAUCAUCAUUAACUUCCAACUCAGUCUAGUUUGACUUCCCUUUUCUUCUAUCCCGUCGAAUCCUUGAGGGAUCUUCUCUCCUUGUUCAUCUCUGUAUCUCUAAUAAUUAGCACAGUGUGAGGCACGUGGUAAUCCAGUUAUAACGGUGGAUUACUGGUCUCCAACAUAAUUAGACCCAUCCAAAAAAAAAAAAAACCACUUUAUAAACCUACUUUGCAAAGUUCAUAAGCAAUGGAUGUGCUAUAUCUCAAAGGUGCUGGCCAAAAAAAUUAAAAACUUGGUAAUUAUGUGUGUUUUUUUUUUCACCAGGUCUACUUUUCUGUCACAAGAGCCCAUAUUAACAACACACCCAUGUAUGCUUUUCUUUUUAUCCACUUUUCUCCAUGAGUCUGUCACCAUCAACUAUUAAAACUAUAAAGAUUUGAUCCCCUAAAUAAGUGAUCUUCAAACUAAUUUCUCUCAUACUUACUAAAGGAACUUUGAAAAUCUAUGUAUUGCUCUGCACAUUUUCAAGUAGACACCUAAGAUUUUUCAUCAUAAAUUUGAAUAACUUCAAAAUAUGUUCUUUCUAGCAUACUGUAAAUAUUGAUUUUUAAAUAAAAUAUAUCACACUUUGUAUCCAA